GACGUUGUGAGAAGUUCAUUAAACCUUAUCAUUUAGAGGAAGGAGAAGUCGUAACAAGGUUUCCGUAGGUGAACCUGCGGAAGGAUCAUUGUACACACAAUAAGCAAACCAGCGAACCGUAGUUGUCCCUCGAGGGGCCGCACUUGGAGGUGCGGCCGCCGUUGAUGCACCCGGUCUUCGGGCCGGCCCGUUGGCGUGGCGGGCUGUGGGUUGUCUUUGGCUGGAGCGUCCCGUAGCGUGGCUUUGGCCUUGGCCUCUCGGAUUCAUUCGAGGGGCCGGAGUUGAGGUCGGGCCCUCCCCUCCCCUUUUGGCUCCCUCCCUCCCGGGGGAGGGAGCCGUCUGGGCCGCCUUUUCCACCAAGAACCUUGGGAACAUGUAUGAGCAGCCUGAGUUUGGGUCCGCACUUGCGGCCCGAGUCAUAAACAAAACAAUGACUCUCAGCAACGGAUAUCUUGGCUCUUGCAACGAUGAAGAACGCAGCGAAAUGCGAUACCUAGUGUGAAUUGCAGAAUUCCGUGAAUCAUCGAGUCUUUGAACGCAAGUUGCGCCCGAGGCUUGUCCCGAGGGCAUGCCUGCCUGAGCGUCACCGCACCCCCACCUCCCACCUCGUGUGGUUGAGUGGAAGUGGCCGUCCGGGGCCCAGCACUUAUGUCGGGCUGCGGUCGGCUGAAAUGGAGUGUCCCGGAGGCGACCUGCUAGGGAGCCGCGAGAAGGUGAUCCGACCCCUAUGGGGACGGAGUCUAAGACAGCGGCUCCCGAGGGAGCUGAAGGGGAAUGGGGGGCAUCUCUGAGUGCCCCCCAAAGGAAGGGAGUCGAGAGACUCCACGGCUUGGACCUCAGAUCAGGCAAGAUUACCCGCUGAGUUUAAGCAUAUCACUAAGCGGAGGAAAAGAAACUAACUAGG
Molecule: ribosomal RNA, 904 nt
Filed under: Nowellia curvifolia
Lineage: Eukaryota; Viridiplantae; Streptophyta; Jungermanniopsida; Jungermanniales; Cephaloziaceae
Description: eukaryotic LSU rRNA
Rfam family: 5.8S ribosomal RNA (bases 433-586)
Source: RNAcentral